Non-coding RNA from Prunus mume (Japanese apricot), 595 nucleotides. The record is from RefSeq and is a predicted model, not a curated record. Lineage: Eukaryota; Viridiplantae; Streptophyta; Magnoliopsida; Rosales; Rosaceae.
CAGACAGCGUAUGCAAUCUUAUCCUAGACCCCCAAUGGCGCUCUACAGGUCCGGUGGCGUUCUCAUUUCGAGCCCAGCACUCGCUCCCUCCAAAACACCAAUCUCAACCAUUCACCUUCAACAUUUCCCGACAAUUUCCUCAAAACCCAUAUUCAAAAACACCACCGCAAAGCCACUAAGAGCCACGAAGACACCCCAGAAGUACGUGUACCCUGACCCAAUCCCCCAAUUUGCAGAAUCUUAGACCCAGAAGUUCAAGGCUGAGCUUUCCAGGAAGCUGUUGAAGGACAAGGAGACUUUUGGGGAUGACCUCCAUGGCGUCAUAGGCGUUUGUUCAUAGAUAUUCAGUGAGUUCUUUCUCAAGGAGUAUGGAGGACCGGGGACAUUAUUGGUGGAGCCUUUCACCGAUAUGCUGGUUGCUCUCAAGGAGAAGGAAUUACCAGGAGCACCUUUGGCUGCAAGGGCAUCUCUGUUAUGGGCUCAAAGCUAUUUAGAUCAAGACUGGGAAAUUUGGAACUCAAAAUCACCAAACUAAUGUUGUUUCUUCAUUUACAAUCCACACAAGUCUAAAUUGUUCAUUUGGUGUUUUAUUUCU